This 444-nucleotide ribosomal RNA is filed under the name uncultured bacterium. RNAcentral's name for it is "bacterial SSU rRNA". It matches the Rfam family "Bacterial small subunit ribosomal RNA", at positions 354 to 796 of the family's 1533-position model. The record is from RNAcentral.
GUAGGGAAUAUUGGUCAAUGGACGAAAGUCUGAACCAGCCAUUCCGCGUGCAGGAAGAAGAUUCUAUGGAUUGUAAACUGCUUUUAGCAGAGAAGAAACGCCUUCAUUGAUGAGGGUUUGACGGUAUCUGCGGAAUAAGCACCGGCUAACUCCGUGCCAGCAGCCGCGGUAAUACGGGGGGUGCAAGCGUUAUCCGGAAUCACUGGGUUUAAAGGGUGCGUAGGCGGGAAAUUAAGUCAGUGGUGAAAGUCUGUGCUUAACGAUAGAAUUGCCGUUGAUACUGAUUUUCUUGAAUUGGGUUGAGGUUAGCGGAAUGUGACAUGUAGCGGUGAAAUGCAUAGAUAUGUCAUGGAACACCAAUUGCGAAGGCAGCUAGCUGGGCCUUGAUUGACGCUGAGGCACGAAAGCGUGGGUAGCGAACAGGAUUAGAAACCCCGGUAGUCC